CCUUCGAAAACUAGAGCAUCAUUCUUCCUGCUUCUCUCCGAUCAAUAUCUGUUUGCGGCCAUGGCGAACCCCGGCGAGGAGAGUUUUGCCUUAACCUAGGCCCUCCUUCCUCUUAAUGUGCGCACCUAUUCAGGUCAGCAAAUCCUCUGCUUCUGCUCUGUUGCCCUAAAUUUGUUCCAGUGGAAUUUCCAGUAGAAAAACCUUCUCCAUCGACGCACUUUUAUGGUUUCUCACUCCGCUUCUCAUUGCUCUGAGGGCAAUGAGCCCAAGGCUGCGGAGAAAGAGGACCUACAGUACCCUUUUCUCUGGGAAAGACUGGUAAUGGAUUGUUACUGGGAGAAUCAGAAAAUCCUAUAGUUACUUCUGGAGACUCUCUUCUGGUUAACCAGCGGGAAUCUAGUGAAUCACAUUGGAAGGAGCGGUUCCUCCCCUACAAACAUUCUUGAGGAAUUGUGACCAUUCGUGUCAGGAGGAGUACAUCCAGAUGCUACGGUCAUUACCCCCUGUUGGCCGUAGCAGACAUGCAGUUGAACUGGAGAAAAGUGCAACCCAUCUGUCACUAGAGGAAGUAGGGAAGGAGGUACAUUGGAUGACAGUUCUGAAUGUCUUGGGCAAGUCUGUGACAAAGAGUAAUGCAUUGUUGUCACCUCAACAACCCAACUAGUGAAAGGAUAAGAGAAUAAAAAUUCUUAACAUAUACUGCUUCAUCCAUGGCCAUGAAGGCAUUCCCAAUUAUCUGCAGGUUCAUGCAUAUGAGAGGUCAAAUCGAGUUUAUAAUUACUUGUUGGAUCCUUGUGGUCCUGUUCAUAUCACGAUUGGAGAUGGGGGAAAUCGAGAGAAAAUGGCAAUCAAACAUGCUGAUGCACCUAGUGACUGCCCUGCAGAUUAAUUGAGUACGCCAGAUGAAUAUAUGGGUAGCUUCUGUGCUACUAAUUUUAUGUCAGGUUCAGCAGCAGGAAAAUUCUGCUGGGACUGACAACCUGAUUUCAGUGCAUACAGGGAAAGCAGCUUUGGCCAUGGGAUCCUUGAGGUACCAAAGCAGCUUUGGGCAUGGGAUCCUUGAGUUUUUCCAGGGAAAGUUGAUAGAAGGCAAUCGUGGAAGAAAUGUGCAGCUCAUGUUUAUAUCAGUUGUCUCAUCCGGGCAUACCAGAAUGCAGAGAAAAGUGUCUAAGUUUCCUGUUCUUCCUGAUCAAUUGAAAGUAAAAGAAGAAACGAGGUCAGGUGGAGUGAGAAAUGAUUUGAGUGGAGCUACUACUUCCUCCAGCAACACAUACAGUUAUGCUGCCGGGAAAAGUCUGAAUGAAGCUUUAAUUGGUAUUCAACCAGACAAGAUGCUUCAGCAAAUCAGCAACAAACUUCUGUAGCAACUGGAAUUCUCAGUUCACAGAAGCUGGUUCAAUCAAUAUGUUAAGUGGAUUCGCAUUGGAAGAUGUGCUGAAUUAUUAGAGAAUUUGAUUAUUUUUUGAAGUUCUUGUACUAUUUAUAUGUCAAUUGGAUAUUGUAUUUGAACAAUGUCUUUUAGAUAUUUUAAUAUAUAAUCUUUGAAUUAA
Molecule: long non-coding RNA, 1550 nt
Organism: Nelumbo nucifera (sacred lotus)
Lineage: Eukaryota; Viridiplantae; Streptophyta; Magnoliopsida; Proteales; Nelumbonaceae
Source: RefSeq, a predicted model, not a curated record